RNAcentral lists this ribosomal RNA (465 nucleotides) under uncultured bacterium. RNAcentral's name for it is "partial 16S ribosomal RNA". It matches the Rfam family "Bacterial small subunit ribosomal RNA", at positions 28 to 507 of the family's 1533-position model. The record is from RNAcentral.
GACGAACGCUGGCGGCGUGCUUAACACAUGCAAGUCGAACGGAAAGGCCCUGCUUGCAGGGUACUCGAGUGGCGAACGGGUGAGUAACACGUGGGUGAUCUGCCCUGCACUUCGGGAUAAGCCUGGGAAACUGGGUCUAAUACCGGAUAGGAGCCAUUUUUAGUGUGAUGGUUGGAAAGUUUUUUCGGUGUAGGAUGAGCUCGCGGCCUAUCAGCUUGUUGGUGGGGUAAUGGCCUACCAAGGCGGCGACGGGUAGCCGGCCUGAGAGGGUGGACGGCCACAUUGGGACUGAGGGACGGCCCAGGCUCCGACGGGAGGCAGCAGUGGGGAAGAUUGAACAAGGGGCGCAAGCCUGAUGCAGCGACGCCGCGGGGGGGAUGACGGCCUUCGGGUUGAAAACUCCAUUCGCUAGGGACGAAGCUUUUUGUGACGGUACCUAGAUAAGAAGCACCGGCUAACUACGUG